Molecule: long non-coding RNA, 143 nt
Organism: Etheostoma cragini (Arkansas darter)
Lineage: Eukaryota; Metazoa; Chordata; Actinopteri; Perciformes; Percidae
Exons: 3
Source: RefSeq, a predicted model, not a curated record
GCAUUUAUGUCAAAACCUAGAGACUUUCAAACAUCAAUACGUCAUUUAUUAAUAUGUAUUCAUGUCAAAAUGACAUAAACAUCUUUUCCUAUUCUAUUUUCCAUGGAAACGCUUCCAACACGCUUGCUUGAAAAAUCAGUGCU